RNAcentral lists this long non-coding RNA (219 nucleotides) under Homo sapiens (human). RNAcentral's name for it is "HSALNT0101588". The record is from RNAcentral. Lineage: Eukaryota; Metazoa; Chordata; Mammalia; Primates; Hominidae.
GUGACUGGGGGAAUUUUGAGAAGCAAAUGUCUAGAAUUUAUGUGCCAUAAAGAAGAAUUUUAUUUCAAAGUGUAAGAGACAUGAUUACAAAGUGUAUUCUGUUUGUUUUUUUCAAAUCCUGAGAACCUAUGCAAGUAAAGUGUAUUUUGGGACUGUACUGCCAAACUCAUUGAAAUGAGUGCCACUUAAUGGACAGCCCAGACUACACGGCAUCUCCAG